AUGAAGCUGGAAUUGCUGUAAUGGCAGGUCAGCAUACUGCCGUGAAUACGUUCCCGGGCCCUUGUACACACCGCCCGUCACACCAUGAGAGUUGGGAAUACCCGAAGCCUGUGAGCUAACUUAUAGAGGCAGCAGUCGAAGGUAGAAUCAAUGAUUGGGGUGAAGUCGUAACAAGGUAAC
RNAcentral lists this ribosomal RNA (180 nucleotides) under uncultured bacterium. Its description in RNAcentral is "partial 16S ribosomal RNA". It matches the Rfam family "Bacterial small subunit ribosomal RNA", at positions 1320 to 1500 of the family's 1533-position model. The record is from RNAcentral.